This 459-nucleotide ribosomal RNA is filed under the name uncultured bacterium. RNAcentral describes it as "SSU rRNA". It matches the Rfam family "Bacterial small subunit ribosomal RNA", at positions 26 to 518 of the family's 1533-position model. The record is from RNAcentral.
AGAACGAACGCUGGCGGCAUGCCUCAUACAUACAAGUCGAACGCUCUACAGGCUUCGGUCUGUGGGGAGUGGCGCACGGGUGAGUAGCGCGUGGGAACCUGCCCAACAGUGGGGGAUAACCGAUGGAAACGUCGGCUAAUACCGCAUGUGCCCCGGGGCAACUCGGGGGGAAAGAUUUAUCGCUGUUGGAGGGGCCCGCGUCGGAUUAGCUAGUUGGUGGGUAACGCCUACAAGGCUUUGAUCCGUAGCUGGUCUGAGAGGAUGAUCAGCCACACUGGGACUGAGACACGGCCCAGACUCCUACGGGAGGCAGCAGUAGGGAAUAUUGGACAAUGGGGGAAACCCUGAUCCAGCAAUGCCGCGUGAGUGAGGAAGGCCCUAGGUGUAAAGCUCUUUCGCACGCGACGAUGAUGACGGUAGCGUGAGAAGAAGCCCGGCUAACUUCGCGCCAGCAGCCGC